GCUGGCGUAGCUCAGUUGGUAGAGCUCCUCACUUGUAAUGAGGGGGUCGCCCGUUCAAUUCGGGUCGCCAGCU
Omnitrophica WOR_2 bacterium GWF2_43_52 is the source of this 73-nucleotide non-coding RNA. Lineage: Bacteria; Pseudomonadati; Candidatus Omnitrophota. The record is from Rfam.